UAGACCAUAGUUUCAGUGAUCAUUUUUAUAGUUUGUUACUAGAGACAUUUCUCUGGCUAUGGAGAGCACCCAGAACCACAAGGAGGAGCCAAGCAUCCUUUCCUGAGCAUGAACUGGUUCUAGAUGUUGCUUUUGCAACUGUCUUUUACCACUGGUAAUUGUUCUCUCUUUCCUUGGAAGAGUGAGAGGGAGAUGAUGCAGUCUGAGUCA
Molecule: small nucleolar RNA, 210 nt
Organism: Sorex araneus (European shrew)
Lineage: Eukaryota; Metazoa; Chordata; Mammalia; Eulipotyphla; Soricidae
Gene: U3
Rfam family: Small nucleolar RNA U3
About the family: Small nucleolar RNAs (snoRNAs) are involved in the processing and modification of rRNA in the nucleolus. There are two main classes of snoRNAs: the box C/D class, and the box H/ACA class. U3 snoRNA is a member of the box C/D class.
Source: Ensembl